RNAcentral lists this ribosomal RNA (731 nucleotides) under uncultured Lachnospiraceae bacterium. RNAcentral describes it as "bacterial SSU rRNA". It matches the Rfam family "Bacterial small subunit ribosomal RNA", at positions 28 to 760 of the family's 1533-position model. Lineage: Bacteria; Bacillati; Bacillota; Clostridia; Lachnospirales; Lachnospiraceae. The record is from RNAcentral.
GAUGAACGCUGGCGGCGUGCUUAACACAUGCAAGUCGAACGGGAAACCUUUUAUUGAAGCUUCGGCAGAUUUAGCUGGUUUCUAGUGGCGGACGGGUGAGUAACGCGUGGGUAACCUGCCUUAUACAGGGGGAUAACAACCAGAAAUGGUUGCUAAUACCGCAUAAGCGCACAGGGCCGCAUGGUCCGGUGUGAGAAACUCCGGUGGUAUAAGAUGGACCCGCGUUGGAUUAGCUAGUUGGCAGGGUAACGGCCUACCAAGGCGACGAUCCAUAGCCGGCCUGAGAGGGUGAACGGCCACAUUGGGACUGAGACACGGCCCAGACUCCUACGGGAGGCAGCAGUGGGGAAUAUUGCGCAAUGGGGGAAACCCUGAUGCAGCGACGCCGCGUGAAGGAAGAAGUAUCUCGGUAUGUAAACUUCUAUCAGCAGGGAAGAUAGUGACGGUACCUGACUAAGAAGCCCCGGCUAACUACGUGCCAGCAGCCGCGGUAAUACGUAGGGGGCAAGCGUUAUCCGGAUUUACUGGGUGUAAAGGGAGCGUAGACGGACUGGCAAGUCUGAUGUGAAAGGCGGGGGCUCAACCCCUGGACUGCAUUGGAAACUGUUAGUCUUGAGUGCCGGAGAGGUAAGCGGAAUUCCUAGUGUAGCGGUGAAAUGCGUAGAUAUUAGGAGGAACACCAGUGGCGAAGGCGGCUUACUGGACGGUAACUGACGUUGAGGCUCGAAAGC